AGGGGAAACGAUCGAGAAAGCUUGCUCUUUCUAGGCGUCGACCGGCGCACGGGUGAGUAACGCGUAUCCAACCUGCCCAUCACUUGGGGAUAACCUUGCGAAAGUAAGACUAAUACCCAAUGAUAUCCGUCGAAGACAUCUGAAGUGGAUUAAAGAUUCAUCGGUGAUGGAUGGGGAUGCGUCUGAUUAGCUUGUUGGCGGGGUAACGGCCCACCAAGGCAGCGAUCAGUAGGGGUUCUGAGAGGAAGGUCCCCCACAUUGGAACUGAGACACGGUCCAAACUCCUACGGGAGGCGGCAGUGAGGAAUAUUGGUCAAUGGACGAGAGUCUGAACCAGCCAAGUAGCGUGCAGGAUGACGGCCCUAUGGGUUGUAAACUGCUUUUAUAAGGGAAUAAAGUGGGAGUCGUGACUCCUUUUGCAUGUACCUUAUGAAUAAGGACCGGCUAAUUCCGUGCCAGCAGCCGCGGUAAUACGGAAGGUCCGGGCGUUAUCCGGAUUUAUUGGGUUUAAAGGGAGCGUAGGCCGGAGAUUAAGCGUGUUGUGAAAUGUAGAUGCUCAACAUCUGCACUGCAGCGCGAACUGGUUUCCUUGAGUACGCACAAAGUGGGCGGAAUUCGUGGUGUAGCGGUGAAAUGCUUAGAUAUCACGAAGAACUCCGAUUGCGAAGGCAGCUCACUGGAGCGCAACUGACGCUGAAGCUCGAAAGUGCGGGUAUCGAACAGGAUUAGAUACCCUGGUAGUCCGCACGGUAAACGAUGGAUGCCCGCUGUUGGUCUGAAUAGGUCAGCGGCCAAGCGAAAGCAUUAAGCAUCCCACCUGGGGAGUACGCCGGCAA
This 836-nucleotide ribosomal RNA is filed under the name uncultured bacterium. RNAcentral describes it as "bacterial SSU rRNA". It matches the Rfam family "Bacterial small subunit ribosomal RNA", at positions 59 to 891 of the family's 1533-position model. The record is from RNAcentral.